CACUAAAUGACUGAAAGUAAGUAAUGGAAUUUUAAACCAUAUUAUAGUAUAUUAACAAAUACUUUUAGUGA
RNAcentral lists this transfer RNA (71 nucleotides) under Platycorynus sp. N26. RNAcentral describes it as "tRNA-Lys". Lineage: Eukaryota; Metazoa; Arthropoda; Insecta; Coleoptera; Chrysomelidae. The record is from RNAcentral.